GCGAGUAUGGCGGAAUCGGCAGACGCGCCGGAUUCAAAACCCGGUUCUUAACGGAGUGUGAGUUCGACUCUCACUACUCGCACCA
This 85-nucleotide transfer RNA is filed under the name Verrucomicrobia bacterium TMED44. RNAcentral's name for it is "tRNA-Leu". It matches the Rfam family "tRNA". From Rfam's summary of the family: Transfer RNA (tRNA) molecules are approximately 80 nucleotides in length. Lineage: Bacteria; Pseudomonadati; Verrucomicrobiota. The record is from RNAcentral.